UACAGAGGUCCCAAGCGUUGUUCGGAUUCACUGGGCGUAAAGGGUGCGUAGGUGGCUUGGUAAGUUUGAUGUGAAAUCUCCGGGCUUAACCCGGAAAUGGCAUUGAAUACUAUUGAGCUGGAGGUUUGGAGGGGGGACUGGAAUUCUCGGUGUAGCAGUGAAAUGCGUAGAGAUCAUGAGGAAGACCAGUGGCGAAGGCGGGUCUCUGGACAGUUCCUGACACUGAGACACGAAGGCCAGGGGAGCAAACGGG
RNAcentral lists this ribosomal RNA (253 nucleotides) under uncultured bacterium. RNAcentral's name for it is "partial 16S ribosomal RNA". It matches the Rfam family "Bacterial small subunit ribosomal RNA", at positions 524 to 776 of the family's 1533-position model. The record is from RNAcentral.